CUCCUCUUGAUACGUAAGAGGUACCGUCUGCUCAAUGCGAUUCGUAAAUAGCCGCAGUAUUCUGACUGUGCUAAGGUAGCAUAAUCAUUAGUCUUUUAAUUGAAGGCUGGUAUGAAUGACGAGACGAGAAAGUAGCUGUCUCUAUAAUAAACUUCGAAUUUUAUUUUUAAGUGAAAAAGCUUAAAUGAUUUUGAAGGACGAUCAGACCCUUUGGAGCUUUAUUUAUUUGGAAAUUUAAGUUUAUUUAAGAUGACUGGGUGAAAAAUAAAUUUUGUUGGGGCGACAGAGAGUAAAAAGUACCACUCUUUUUUUGAAACAACUAUUGUUGGAAAAUUGAUCCUUAGAGAAAGAUUAAAAGACUAAGUUACCCUAGGGAUAACAGCGUAAUCUUUUUGGAGAGUUCAAAUCGAUAAAAAGGUUUGCGACCUCGAUGUUGGAUUAAGAGAUCAGCAAGGUGCAGAAGUUUUGCUGKAGAGUCUGUUCGACUCU
RNAcentral lists this ribosomal RNA (489 nucleotides) under Daphnia neosalinifera. RNAcentral describes it as "partial 16S ribosomal RNA". It matches the Rfam family "Bacterial large subunit ribosomal RNA", at positions 1821 to 2588 of the family's 2925-position model. Lineage: Eukaryota; Metazoa; Arthropoda; Branchiopoda; Diplostraca; Daphniidae. The record is from RNAcentral.